Molecule: ribosomal RNA, 195 nt
Filed under: uncultured bacterium
Lineage: Bacteria
Description: partial 16S ribosomal RNA
Rfam family: Bacterial small subunit ribosomal RNA
Source: RNAcentral
UGCUUAACACAUGCAAGUCGAACGUGAAGCCCGAUGCUUGCAUUGGGUGGAAAGUGGCGGACGGGUGCAGUAACACGUUGGUGACCUACCUCGAGGAGGGGGACAACACCUGGGAAAACCAGGGCUAAUACCCCUGGAUGUCAAGGAGUUUAGACGCCACUUGACUAAAGCUUCGGCGCCUUGGGAUGGGCCUGC